CUGUCUGGUCUGUACUGACGCUGAGCUCGAAAGUAUGGGUAGCAAACAGGAUUAGAUACCCUGGUAGUCCAUACCGUAAACGAUGAAUGCUAAGUGUUGGAGGGUUCCGCCUUUCAGUGCUGCAGCUAACGCAUUAAGCAUUCCGCUGGGGAGUACGGCCGCAAGGCUGAAACUCAAAGGAAUUGACGGGGGCCCGCACAAGCGGUGGAGCAUGUGGUUUAAUUCGAAGCUACGCGAAGAACCUUACCAGGUCUUGACAUACUAUGCAAAUCUAAGAGAUUAGACGUUCCCUUCGGGGACAUGGAUACAGGUGGUGCAUGGUUGUCGUCAGCUCGUGUCGUGAGAUGUUGGGUUAAGUCCGCAACGAGCGCAACCCUUAUUAUCAGUUGCCAGCAUUAAGUUGGGCACUCUGGUGAGACUGCCGGUGACAAACCGGAGGAAGGUGGGGAUGACGUCAAAUCAUCAUGCCCCUUAUGACCUGGGCUACACACGUGCUACAAUGGAUGGUACAACGAGUUGCGAACUCGCGAGAGUAAGCUAAUCUCUUAAAGCCAUUCUCAGUUCGGAUUGUAGGCUGCAACUCGCCUACAUGAAGUCGGAAUCGCUAGUAAUCGCGGAUCAGCAUGCCGCGGUGAAUACGUUCCCGGGCCUUGUACACACCGCCCGUCACACCAUGAGAGUUUGUAACACCCAAAGUCGGUGGGGUAACCUUUAGGAACCAGCCGCCUAAGGUGGGACAGAUGAUUAGGGUGAAGUCGUAACAAGGUAACCA
Molecule: ribosomal RNA, 772 nt
Filed under: uncultured Lactobacillus sp.
Lineage: Bacteria; Bacillati; Bacillota; Bacilli; Lactobacillales; Lactobacillaceae
Description: bacterial SSU rRNA
Rfam family: Bacterial small subunit ribosomal RNA
Source: RNAcentral